UAGCUAGUUGGUGAGGUAACGGCUCACCAAGGCCACGAUGCAUAGCCGACCUGAGAGGGUGAUCGGCCACACUGGGACUGAGACACGGCCCAGACUCCUACGGGAGGCAGCAGUAGGGAAUCUUCGGCAAUGGACGAAAGUCUGACCGAGCAACGCCGCGUGAGUGAAGAAGGUUUUUGGAUCGUAAAACUCUGUUGUUAGAGAAGAACAAGGAUGAGAGUAGAACGUUCAUCCCUUGACGGUAUCUAACCAGAAAGCCACGGCUAACUACGUGCCAGCAGCCGCGGUAAUACGUAGGUGGCAAGCGUUGUCCGGAUUUAUUGGGCGUAAAGCGAGCGCAGGCGGUUUCUUAAGUCUGAUGUGAAAGCCCCCGGCUCAACCGGGGAGGGUCAUUGGAAACUGGGAGACUUGAGUGCAGAAGAGGAGAGUGGAAUUCCAUGUGUAGCGGUGAAAUGCGUAGAUAUAUGGAGGAACACCAGUGGCGAAGGCGGCUCUCUGGUCUGUAACUGACGCUGAGGCUCGAAAGCGUGGGGAGCGAACAGGAUUAGAUACCCUGGUAGUCCACGCCGUAAACGAUGAGUGCUAAGUGUUGGAGGGUUUCCGCCCUUCA
RNAcentral lists this ribosomal RNA (610 nucleotides) under uncultured bacterium. RNAcentral's name for it is "bacterial SSU rRNA". It matches the Rfam family "Bacterial small subunit ribosomal RNA", at positions 242 to 842 of the family's 1533-position model. The record is from RNAcentral.